AGUGAAAUCUGUGGACCAUGAACAGAUAUAACUUUUAUUGUACAUUAACCGUGUACAAACACAUAAGUAGACACACGGGAGUAUGUGUAUCAAGAUAUGCAACCAAAGAAAAUAUAUGCAAAAAUGGGGAACUUGGAAGUAAGUAUUGGCAUAUGCAACAAACAGAUCUCAUAAAACUACUCAACAAACACAAUCUCUUCUAAAAUUCAUCUUCUAGCACUGAAAGGUUAUCCUAAUGAAUCACGUAGCAAUCAGAAAACUAUAAUCAUUUGAUAGCUGAAGUAAAUGUAAAGAGUCAAAAAAAAAAAAAAAUUGCUAUUAUCAUUAUUACUUUUUUCUCCCCACAUUAGAAUGCCUCAGGAAGCAGUGCACAUAUUAAGGGGUUACUCACACCCUUUCUUGAUGAACCCAUGAUAAGAUUCGGCCAUAGUUCGCUCUCCAAUAUCAUGAUUGCAUUUGGCUUCCAA
Molecule: unclassified non-coding RNA, 467 nt
Filed under: Hevea brasiliensis (rubber tree)
Lineage: Eukaryota; Viridiplantae; Streptophyta; Magnoliopsida; Malpighiales; Euphorbiaceae
Source: RNAcentral